UGAACGCUGGCGGUAUGCUUUACACAUGCAAGUCGAACGGAUUAAAGAGCUUGCUCUUUAGUUAGUGGCGAACGGGUGAGUAAUAUAUCGGAACAUAUCCGGAAGUGGGGGAUAACGCAGCGAAAGUUACGCUAAUACCGCAUAUGCCCUGAGGGGGAAAGGGGGGGAUCGCAAGACCUCUCGCUUUCGGAGUGGCCGAUACCGGAUUAGCUUGUUGGUGAGGUAAAGGCUCACCAAGGCGACGAUCCGUAGCUGGUCUGAGAGGACGACCAGCCACACUGGAACUGAGACACGGUCCAGACUCCUACGGGAGGCAGCAGUGGGGAAUUUUGGACAAUGGGCGCAAGCCUGAUCCAGCCAUACCGCGUGAGUGAAGAAGGCCUUCGGGUUGUAAAGCUCUUUCAGCCGGAAAGAAAUCGCGUUUAUUAAUACUAAGCGUGGAUGACGGUACCGGAAGAAGAAGCACCGGCUAACUACGUGCCAGCAGCCGCGGUAAUACGUAGGGUGCGAGCGUUAAUCGGAAUUACUGGGCGUAAAGCGUGCGCAGGCCGUUUUCUAAGACAGAUGUGAAAUCCCCGGGCUUAACCUGGGAACUGCAUUUGUGACUGGAAGACUAGAGUGUAGCAGAGGGGGGUAGAAUUCCACGUGUAGCAGUGAAAUGCGUAGAGAUGUGGAGGAAUACCAAUGGCGAAGGCAGCCCCCUGGGUUAACACUGACGCUCAUGCACGAAAGCGUGGGGAGCAAACAGGAUUAGAUACCCUGGUAGUCCACGCCCUAAACGAUGUCAACUAGGUGUUGGGGAAGGAGACUUCUUUAGUACCGCAGCUAACGCGUGAAGUGACC
RNAcentral lists this ribosomal RNA (843 nucleotides) under uncultured bacterium. RNAcentral's name for it is "bacterial SSU rRNA". It matches the Rfam family "Bacterial small subunit ribosomal RNA", at positions 30 to 870 of the family's 1533-position model. The record is from RNAcentral.